This 415-nucleotide long non-coding RNA is filed under the name Diabrotica virgifera virgifera (western corn rootworm). RNAcentral describes it as "uncharacterized LOC126879274". The record is from RNAcentral. Lineage: Eukaryota; Metazoa; Arthropoda; Insecta; Coleoptera; Chrysomelidae.
UAUUAUUAACAUAGUGCAUAAAAUCAGUUGGAGUAGCAGAAGCAAUGUAGAUAAAAAAUCUGCAGGAAUAACGUUUCAAAGCUUUCCAGAAGAUCCUGCGAAGAAGGCAUGAAGUAUUGAUCAGAUUUGUUAAUAGAGCAGUAUGUUCAAAACAUUUUUUAGAAAAAGAUAUUGACAGAACUUCACUUUCAACUGUUCGUUUGAGAGACUGUGCUGUUCCAAUAGCUUAUAUCACACAGAAUCAGCUGAGAGAAGUGGUCUACGAAAAACCAGGAAGGAAAUGGAAUAUGUGGCUAUGAAAGGCAAAAGAAAGGUUUACAAAGCAAAUGUGACACAUUUUUUUUAUAGGAAUAUCAGUAAAUUACAUUAAAAAAAUGUAUGAAAAGAUUUUUUGCAAUAAAAAUGUUUAUAUUUA